AUCAUGUGUAAAUAACAGCUGGCUUUUGGCUCAGUUUUGUGAAUGUACAUAUGUGGUCUGCCACUGUGAGUGAUGGAAGGUUAGAUGGCUGGUCACUAACAUCAGUUGAGAGGAGCAUCCAGGUUAUCUUAGGAGAGGACAUGGGUUGCUGCUUAGUUAUAUGUGUGGUGUCGAAGUUGUAGCUGUGUACAGGAUGUAUGUUUAGGGCGGUAAUAUGGUAAUGCCGGCUUGGCUUUGCGAGGUUAUAGGGUAAUGUUGGAUAGCCAACCAUGUCUUUUUAACUUGAUGUUUGGAGUCCAACCCCCCCUUUGUCCGUUUUAUGAUCUAGCGUGACUUGUUUGGCAAAAAAUCUAGAAAUGGCGGACAGGCCCAAAGUAAAUACCAAUUGUCCCGUAAAAUAUAAAUCUCAAUUCUCACUCACAGAUUAUGACCAAGUGAUGUUAGACCGAUCUAUUUGCUGACUUAUUUUUUACUUUGAAAUACCAGUCUGGUUCAAAUUAUACACUGAUAAUUGAGAUUCCAAGUAAGAUUGAUAACCAGACUAACAUGUAAACCUUUUGCAGGCACCUCUUCCAGCUGUAGCACCUGCUGGCUCAACAUUGCUUGAAAUGGCAUGUGAGUUAAUUCUCUGAUGCUGAACUUGAUGGUUUGCACUAGCAGGUGCCUGAAUUUGCGCAACAUUUGUACGCGGGUCUGAAGGUGCUGCUCCAUCAAGUCUGUUCUCACUCGGCAAAUGAGAUCAUGAAGCUUCAUCACCAGCUACAGGCAUAUUAAUGAGAAAAGUAUUAACCCUUUGGUGCAUGAAGAAGUACAAAACUGAAGAAUAACAAAUUACCUUUGAAUCUGUCGGUGGCAAUUCAUCAAACAACUCAGGUGUCGGCGACCUUGGUACGUCCCAUGGCUCCUUUAGGUCAUGUACGGUCUGAAAUAAAUUGAUGAAAUUGGUUCCUAUUUUAUAAUGAAAAUAAAUAUGGAAGAAUAAAUACAAAUGUUGUACAAUACGUAAUUUAUGUACCUCUCCGGCCUGAAGGCCGUGCUUAUCAAAAAUAGCACAGACUUUGCGCA
Molecule: non-coding RNA, 1065 nt
Organism: Aegilops tauschii subsp. strangulata
Lineage: Eukaryota; Viridiplantae; Streptophyta; Magnoliopsida; Poales; Poaceae
Source: RefSeq, a predicted model, not a curated record